CCUACGGGUGGCAGCAGUAGGGAAUCUUCCGCAAUGGGCGAAAGCCUGACGGAGCAACGCCGCGUGAGUGAUGAAGGUCUUCGGAUCGUAAAACUCUGUUAUUAGGGAAGAACAAAUGUGUAAGUAACUAUGCACGUCUUGACGGUACCUAAUCAGAAAGCCACGGCUAACUACGUGCCAGCAGCCGCGGUAAUACGUAGGUGGCAAGCGUUAUCCGGAAUUAUUGGGCGUAAAGCGCGCGUAGGCGGUUCCUUAAGUCUGAUGUGAAAGCCCACGGCUCAACCGUGGAGGGUCAUUGGAAACUGGAAAACUUGAGUGCAGAAGAGGAAAGUGGAAUUCCAUGUGUAGCGGAGAAAUGCGCAGAGAUAUGGAGGAACACCAGUGGCGAAGGCGACUUUCUGGUCUGUAACUGACGCUGAUGUGCGAAAGCGUGGGGAACAAACAGGAUUAGAUACCCCUGUAGUC
RNAcentral lists this ribosomal RNA (465 nucleotides) under uncultured bacterium. RNAcentral's name for it is "bacterial SSU rRNA". It matches the Rfam family "Bacterial small subunit ribosomal RNA", at positions 338 to 795 of the family's 1533-position model. The record is from RNAcentral.